CAACCAUUUCUGCACAAAGGUCAUACCCAGUUCAAGAGCAUGGAUGUUGGCAGUCACGAAUGCAGUGGGUCUCCUAUUUUCUGCUCUCGAGCAGUGGCGGCGAGAGGAGGAACUGUGACGUUUGUAGCUCAGCAGGGAGUAUCUGGGGACCCAGAUGUACUGAGAAUGCUGCAGCAAAGAUGACUUUUUCCAAACCUGUCAAAGCCUCUACAGAGUUCACUCUUGAUCUCCAACUCUAAAGGAAAAGAGGAUGAAUCCAGCGCUCUCUCAGAAAAAAGGUACUGAAUUUUCUUUGCUUAGUAGGUAGUAGUAAAUACAUAUAAGAUUCGUAUUAUUUUCUGUCCAUCUAUUAUUGCCAACGAUAGUAUCA
This 370-nucleotide long non-coding RNA is filed under the name Struthio camelus australis. RNAcentral's name for it is "lncRNA (ENSSCUG00000011815.1)". Lineage: Eukaryota; Metazoa; Chordata; Aves; Struthioniformes; Struthionidae. The record is from RNAcentral.